AAAUGAAUUAUGAGAAAAACAACGAAGAUCAAAUGUCCAUCUCAAAAUACUGCUUUUACAAAAGCAGAAUGAAAUGAAAUGAAACGAAAAUAA
Unclassified non-coding RNA from Neogale vison (American mink), 93 nucleotides. The record is from Ensembl. NCBI's taxonomy places the organism in Eukaryota, Metazoa, Chordata, Mammalia, Carnivora, Mustelidae.